CGAGAACAGAAAUCUCGUG
Molecule: small nuclear RNA, 19 nt
Filed under: Arabidopsis thaliana (thale cress)
Lineage: Eukaryota; Viridiplantae; Streptophyta; Magnoliopsida; Brassicales; Brassicaceae
Description: snRNA_18362
Source: RNAcentral